RNAcentral lists this long non-coding RNA (522 nucleotides) under Glycine max (soybean). RNAcentral's name for it is "long non-coding RNA (GMAX_LNC000922)". Lineage: Eukaryota; Viridiplantae; Streptophyta; Magnoliopsida; Fabales; Fabaceae. The record is from RNAcentral.
CCGUAGAGGCAAGGGCGAAUCGAGUUAGCAUCCCGCCAUUCAUGCCAUGCCUUGUCAGCUAGGCUAGUUAGCUAAUUCCUUCCAAGACAAUCGAUUCUGCGAUGAUGCGCGUAAUCGAUCUCUUAUUAGCUUAUUCAAAAGUCAUUUCUAGAGGAAAUCUUUAUCUUCUUAUCCCAAAUUGGCAUAUCUGUCUUUUGCGCCUCUCUAUAUGUAUUUUUUUCGAAAUUGCGUAAAGAAAGAUGAUUCGCUUUUUUUAUGUUCCUUUAGCCUUUCGUGGAGAUCGAAUCCUCUUGCCCUCUCAACUCAUAUUUCCCACUUCGUCGGUCAAACCAACGAUUCUCUUCUCAAAGUAAUAGAGAGAUCUUUUUCUAGUUAGACUUCUAUCAAUGCAAUGAAAGAACCAUCCCUUCCUAUUUCUUUGUCCUGUCAGAAAUAGAAUAAGACCCAAAAGAGCCCUUCUUUACCACUUUAGGGGGUGGGGGUGAAGGGGGGGGGUUUACACACAACCGAGGCAAAGUGGUU